AAUCCGGGCUAGAAGCGACG
This 20-nucleotide small nuclear RNA is filed under the name Arabidopsis thaliana (thale cress). Its description in RNAcentral is "snRNA_04035". The record is from RNAcentral. Lineage: Eukaryota; Viridiplantae; Streptophyta; Magnoliopsida; Brassicales; Brassicaceae.